RNAcentral lists this unclassified non-coding RNA (22 nucleotides) under Mus musculus (house mouse). RNAcentral's name for it is "oocyte_clustered_small_RNA10018". Lineage: Eukaryota; Metazoa; Chordata; Mammalia; Rodentia; Muridae. The record is from RNAcentral.
CGACGGACAAAGUUAUCAGCAC